AGAGAAGGCCAAUGUGGAAGUCUCUUAGGAUGCCACUUGACAAGUGGUCCCAAGGAAGAAAGGGAUGGUAGGUUAAAAUAGGAGUAAUUUUAUCAUAGCGCAUCCCCAUGAGGAUAUUAAGGGAUCCAAUGGCAUUAAGCUUAAUCCUAUCCUAUAUGGGUUUCUGUCAAGCUUAAUUUUAGUGCAAGUAUAAAACUUAGGUAUUAACUAGGCUUAUAUGCUAUAUUUUGCCUUCAAAAAGAGAUAAAUUAGGAUAUUAUGAAUGAUAUAGGUCUAAGAAAUAGUUGAAUUAGUCUGGAUUAGAUUCAAUAAACUAUGAUUGAGUGUAUAUUUUGACAUGAUCGGUUAUGAAUGGACACGACCAUACUUGAUUGGUCAAGAUUGGAUAUAUUAGGGGUUUAAAUUGGUUUGCAUUUGGAUAGGAUAGUGUUAGUUUGUUUUGGAUAGGAUUUAGGUUAGAUGAUCUAGGUUUAGGCUCGACAGACCAGGGUUCGGAUCAAA
RNAcentral lists this long non-coding RNA (501 nucleotides) under Phoenix dactylifera (date palm). RNAcentral's name for it is "long non-coding RNA (PDAC_LNC006215)". Lineage: Eukaryota; Viridiplantae; Streptophyta; Magnoliopsida; Arecales; Arecaceae. The record is from RNAcentral.